Molecule: long non-coding RNA, 943 nt
Filed under: Triticum aestivum (bread wheat)
Lineage: Eukaryota; Viridiplantae; Streptophyta; Magnoliopsida; Poales; Poaceae
Description: long non-coding RNA (TAES_LNC018609)
Source: RNAcentral
GCAGGAUUUCCAGUCGUGGCGGCGGGGGCAAUCAGACAAGAGGUGCAGCCCGUCCUCGGCGUCCUCGCGGUGGUGCAUCGAGUGGAUCGGCUACGGGCGGGAGCGUUGCGGGAACUCCUGCUGGACGUGACGAUGGUGACGAGCAGGAGCAUGGCAGCAACGUCGGCAUGCACAAUGUGCAAGCUCCAACAAAGAAAUAUGGCCGUAAGUAAAUAAGCUGCCAUGGCACAGAAUCUGUUUUUCAAUUCAACAUCUCAAUAGUUUUUCAAUUCAACAUUUCAAUAUUUUGUAACUUAGGACCAUGGCAGCAAAGAUGUUUAUAUUCUUAUUCAGCAAAGAUGUUUAUAUUCUGAUUUUGUAUUUUGAAAUAUGAUGUCCAAUCUGUGAGUUAGAACAAUACAGUUUGUACAAUUGUUCAUGAUGCUGGUGUGUUAGUUCAUGAUGUGUGCGAUCUGUUCAUAUAAAAACUUGUGACAUAUGUUAGGACCUCCAAGGGGCAGUAGGGGUCGAGGUUCAAGAAAAGGUAGCGGCAGUGGCACUUCGCGCACCCCUGGUGUCCAAGAAAAUGGCGAUGACCUUGGAUACGCUGGUGGCUUUGAUAGCAACUACACGUACGUGCAUUUGUAUUACACAUUGCAAUUUAUAUGUGGUUCACUAUGCACUAAAGAGAAAACUUUUAUGUGUACAGCUUUGGCAACUUUCAAUGAUUCAAUCUGCUCAUGAUGCUGGUGUCUUUGAGCACAUGGACGCUUGCCCGCCUCUACCAGAGUUUCCGCUAGCCCCAAAGAAGAUAUUGGACCUAAGUAAAUCAUGCAACACAUGAUAUGCAUCAUUUCAUUGUACUGAAACAUUUUUCUUGUAAGCAUAAUAUGAUUGUUUCUGUAUCAAAUAAUAUUUGUAAAAUCAAGACAUUUUUAAGUCAUUUUUGUUUUCUUGAAUAGAU